GACGAACGCUGGCGGCGUGCUUAACACAUGCAAGUCGAACGGAAAGGCCCUGCUUUUGUGGUGUUCUCGAGUGGCGAACGGGUGAGUAACACGUGAGUAACCUUCCCUUGACUUUGGGAUAACUUCCGGAAACUGGGGCUAAUCCCCGUUCGGAGCUCCUGCUGCAUGGUGGGGGUUGGAAAGUUUCGGCGGUUGGGGAUGGACUCGCGGCUUAUCAGCUUGUUGGUGGGGUAGUGGCUUACCAAGGCUUUGACGGAUAGCCGGCCUGAGAGGGUGACCGGCGACAUGGGGACUGAGAGACGGCGCAGAGGGGUACGGGAGGCAGCAGGGGGGAAUAUUGCACAAUGGGCGGAAGCGUGAGGCAGCAACGCCGCGUGCGGGAUGAAGGCUUUCGGGGUGUAAACCGCUUUCGCCUGUGACGAAGCGGGAGUGACGGUAAUGGGUAAAGAAGCACCGGCUAACUACGUG
RNAcentral lists this ribosomal RNA (468 nucleotides) under uncultured bacterium. Its description in RNAcentral is "partial 16S ribosomal RNA". It matches the Rfam family "Bacterial small subunit ribosomal RNA", at positions 28 to 507 of the family's 1533-position model. The record is from RNAcentral.